CCUACGGGUGGCAGCAGUGGGGAAUAUUGCUCAAUGGGGGCAACCCUGAAGCAGCAACGCCGCGUGGAGGAUGACUGUUUUCCGAUUGUAAACUCCUUUUGUUAGAGAAAUUAAUGACGGUAUCUAACGAAUAAUCACCGGCUAACUCCGUUCCAGCAGCCGCGGUACUACGGAGGGUGCCAGCGUUACUCGGAAUCACUGGGCGUAAAGAGCGCGUAUGCGGGAUAGCAAGUCAGAUGUGAAAUCCUAUGGCUUAACCAUAGAACUGCAAUUGAAACUGUUAUUCUAGAGUAUGGGAGAGGUAGGUGGAAUUCUUGGUGUAGGGGUAAAAUGCGUAGAGAUCAAGAGGAAUACUGAUUGCGAAGGCGACUUGCUAGAACAUCACUGACGCUGAUGCGCGAAAGUGUGGGGAGCAAACAGGAUUAGAUACCCGGGUAGUC
RNAcentral lists this ribosomal RNA (440 nucleotides) under uncultured bacterium. Its description in RNAcentral is "partial 16S ribosomal RNA". It matches the Rfam family "Bacterial small subunit ribosomal RNA", at positions 338 to 795 of the family's 1533-position model. The record is from RNAcentral.